UUCCCCAGUGCUCUUUUACAUAGCUGACAC
Molecule: non-coding RNA, 30 nt
Filed under: Mus musculus (house mouse)
Lineage: Eukaryota; Metazoa; Chordata; Mammalia; Rodentia; Muridae
Source: RNAcentral